GUUCAUACAAGAUUUUCCACGUUUGUACUCUUUGUGACUUGCUCUUUUAUCAAGCUUGUUCCACAAAGCUUUGGCCUUCCACGUGGUCACUCUUGACUUUAGUUUGCUGUAAAAGUUCUUAGAGUCCAAAGGAUCUAAUUCAAGUUGGCGUGUGAGAAUAUUAAAGGCCUGAAUGGUACCUUUGCAUGUUGAUGCUUGGACAAAGUUUUCAAAUAUCUGGCCAGCUUGGCUGUAUUUUUCAUCAUCGUUUUCCCCCAUGUUCUGACAGAAGUGCUGAAAAGAGUCAAGCUGGAGCUCUUGUGCUAGGGUGCAGGUAACCAACACUAGCAAGUACUUCCAAGCAUGUUAUUCCGCUGCUGGCGGCGCCUAUC
RNAcentral lists this long non-coding RNA (371 nucleotides) under Gallus gallus (chicken). Lineage: Eukaryota; Metazoa; Chordata; Aves; Galliformes; Phasianidae. The record is from RNAcentral.